UGUCAUCGGACUUGCGUAGUGGUGGGAGA
RNAcentral lists this small RNA (29 nucleotides) under Bombyx mori (domestic silkworm). RNAcentral's name for it is "ovarian small RNA-2292". The record is from RNAcentral. Lineage: Eukaryota; Metazoa; Arthropoda; Insecta; Lepidoptera; Bombycidae.